UAGGGAAUAUUGCUCAAUGGGGGAAACCCUGAAGCAGCAACGCCGCGUGGAGGAUGAAGGUUUUCGGAUUGUAAAACUCCUUUUGUUAGAGAAGAUAAUGACGGUAUCUAACGAAUAAGCACCGGCUAACUCCGUGCC
RNAcentral lists this ribosomal RNA (138 nucleotides) under uncultured bacterium. RNAcentral's name for it is "partial 16S ribosomal RNA". It matches the Rfam family "Bacterial small subunit ribosomal RNA", at positions 355 to 509 of the family's 1533-position model. The record is from RNAcentral.